GAUGAACGCUGGCGGCGUGCUUAACACAUGCAAGUCGAACGUGAGGGUGUAGCAAUAUGCCUGAAAGUGGCGAACGGGUGAGUAACACGUGGAUAACCUGCCCUGGAGUGGGGGAUAACCAUUGGAAACGGUGGCUAAUACCGCAUAGAGCUAUUGAUUUGGGAGAAUCGAUAGGGAAAGCUCCGGCGCUCUGGGAGGGGUCUGCGUCCGAUUAGCUAGUUGGUGAGGUAAAGGCUCACCAAGGCGACGAUCGGUAGCUGGUCUGAGAGGACGAUCAGCCACACGGGAACUGAGACACGGUCCCGACUCCUACGGGGGGCAGCAGUGAGGAAUAUUGGGCAAUGGGCGAGAGCCUGACCCAGCAACGCCGCGUGGAGGAAGACGGCCUUCGGGUUGUAAACUCCUUUUGACGGGGAAGAGAGAGGACGGUACCCGUCGAAUAAGUCACGGCUAACUACGUG
RNAcentral lists this ribosomal RNA (461 nucleotides) under uncultured organism. RNAcentral describes it as "bacterial SSU rRNA". It matches the Rfam family "Bacterial small subunit ribosomal RNA", at positions 28 to 507 of the family's 1533-position model. The record is from RNAcentral.